UUUUCCACGUUUCCUUAUCAUUCGUCUGUCCGGUCUGUUCGGGAGAACUGGACGGAGAACUGAUAAGGGCUUGUGGGCAA
This 80-nucleotide microRNA precursor is filed under the name Strigamia maritima. Its description in RNAcentral is "microRNA mir-184". It matches the Rfam family "mir-184 microRNA precursor family". The record is from Rfam by way of RNAcentral. Lineage: Eukaryota; Metazoa; Arthropoda; Chilopoda; Geophilomorpha; Linotaeniidae.